AAACAUGAGAGUUUGAUCCUGGCUCAGGAUGAACGCUGGCGGCGUGCCUAACACAUGCAAGUCGAACGAAGCAAUUUAACGGAAGUUUUCGGAUGGAAGUUGAAUUGACUGAGUGGCGGACGGGUGAGUAACGCGUGGGUAACCUGCCUUGUACUGGGGGACAACAGUUAGAAAUGACUGCUAAUACCGCAUAAGCGCACAGUAUCGCAUGAUACAGUGUGAAAAACUCCGGUGGUACAAGAUGGACCCGCGUCUGAUUAGCUAGUUGGUAAGGUAACGGCUUACCAAGGCGACGAUCAGUAGCCGACCUGAGAGGGUGACCGGCCACAUU
Molecule: non-coding RNA, 331 nt
Filed under: [Clostridium] symbiosum WAL-14163
Lineage: Bacteria; Bacillati; Bacillota; Clostridia; Lachnospirales; Lachnospiraceae
Description: Clostridium symbiosum WAL-14163 Bacterial small subunit ribosomal RNA
Rfam family: Bacterial small subunit ribosomal RNA
Source: Rfam by way of RNAcentral